AGAACGAACGCUGGCGGCGUGGAUAAGACAUGCAAGUCGAGCGCUGAUUAAAGGGUAGCAAUAUCUUUUAAUUGGAGCGGCGCAAGGGUGCGUAACACGUGGGUAAUUUGCCAUGAAGUUGGGGAUAACUUGCUGAAAGGCGAGCUAAUACCGAAUGUGGCCCGACGGAGACAUCUCUGUUUGGCUAAAGCUGGGGACCGCAAGGCCUGACGCUUCAUGAUAAACCCGCGGCCUAUCAGCUAGUUGGUGAGGUAACGGCCCACCAAGGCUAAGACGGGUAGCUGGUCUGAGAGGACGACCAGCCACACUGGAACUGAGAGACGGUCCAGACACCUACGGGUGGCAGCAGUCGAGAUUUUCAC
This 362-nucleotide ribosomal RNA is filed under the name uncultured bacterium. RNAcentral's name for it is "SSU rRNA". It matches the Rfam family "Bacterial small subunit ribosomal RNA", at positions 26 to 367 of the family's 1533-position model. The record is from RNAcentral.